GUCACUGAGAACUGCCAUGGCCUACAUCCUGAACAGCUUUCCUUACAUUGACUGGUUCGAGGGUGCCCUUUCCAGGUCCGUCUCCAUUGACGCAGAGGAAACCUUUACGUACACCAUCUCUCUGAAGCUAGAGAAUUCUGUCUACUUCAAUAGUGGUUACAUGCUCUGAAUGGAGCCAAAUCUAAGAUACUGGAUGAUGGUCAGGGAGAAACAUGGCUUGAGGAGCAGUUAAACAUCUACUUCAAUAGGUUCAUAAAAAAAAGAUACAUCUUCUUUAAGAAUGAAUCCUUCUCAUUGGAGACCAGAGAAGAGACCUGCAGUUACAUGAUUAAUAAACAUCAUUGGAAGACAUCAAAGCAAAA
Molecule: non-coding RNA, 362 nt
Organism: Rattus norvegicus (Norway rat)
Lineage: Eukaryota; Metazoa; Chordata; Mammalia; Rodentia; Muridae
Source: RefSeq, a predicted model, not a curated record